GAAAGAUUCAUCGGAAGAGGAUGGGCAUGCGGCGCAUUAGCUUGACGGCGGGGUAACGGCCCACCGUGGCGACGAUGCGUAGGGGUUCUGAGAGGAAGGUCCCCCACACUGGUACUGAGACACGGACCAGACUCCUACGGGAGGCAGCAGUGAGGAAUAUUGGUCAAUGGGAGAGACCCUGAACCAGCCAAGCCGCGUGAGGGAAGACGGCCCUAUGGGUUGUAAACCUCUUUUGUCGGAGAACAAAACCCGGGACGUGUCCCGGACUGCGUGUAUCCGAAGAAAAAGCAUCGGCUAACUCCGUGCCAGCAGCCGCGGUAAUACGGAGGAUGCGAGCGUUAUCCGGAUUUAUUGGGUUUAAAGGGUGCGUAGGCGGUCUGUUAAGUCAGCGGUAAAAUUGCGGGGCUCAACCCCGUCGAGCCGUUGAAACUGGCAGACUUGAGUUGGCGAGAAGUACGCGGAAUGCGCGGUGUAGCGGUGAAAUGCAUAGAUAUCGCGCAGAACUCCGAUUGCGAAGGCAGCGUACCGGCGCCAGACCGACGCUGAGGCACGAAAGCGUGGGGAUCGAACAGGAUUAGAUACCCUGGUAGUCCACGCAGUAAACGAUGAAUGCUGGUUGUCCGGGUCGAAUGAGACCUGGGCGGCGA
RNAcentral lists this ribosomal RNA (647 nucleotides) under uncultured bacterium. Its description in RNAcentral is "bacterial SSU rRNA". It matches the Rfam family "Bacterial small subunit ribosomal RNA", at positions 202 to 849 of the family's 1533-position model. The record is from RNAcentral.